GGAUGAACGCUGUCGGCGUGCCUAAUCCAUGCAAGUCGAGCGAACAGACGAGGAGCUUGCUCCUUCGACGUUAGCGGCGGACGGGUGAGUAACACGUAGGUAACCUACCUAUAAGACUGGGAUAACUUCGGGAAACCGGAGCUAAUACCGGAUAAUAUUUCGAACCGCAUGGUUCGAUAGUUAAAGAUGGCAUUGCUAUCACUUAUAGAUGGACCUGCGCCGUAUUAGCUAGUUGGUAAGGUAACGGCUUACCAAGGCAACGAUACGUAGCCGACCUGAGAGGGUGAUCGGCCACACUGGAACUGAGACACGGUCCAGACUCCUACGGGAGGCAGCAGUAGGGAAUCUUCCGCAAUGGGCGAAAGCCUGACGGAGCAACGCCGCGUGAGUGAUGAAGGUCUUCGGAUCGUAAAACUCUGUUAUUAGGGAAGAACAAACGUGUAAGUAACUGUGCACGUCUUGACGGUACCUAAUCAGAAAGCCACGGCUAACUACGUG
This 498-nucleotide ribosomal RNA is filed under the name uncultured bacterium. RNAcentral describes it as "partial 16S ribosomal RNA". It matches the Rfam family "Bacterial small subunit ribosomal RNA", at positions 27 to 507 of the family's 1533-position model. The record is from RNAcentral.